This 389-nucleotide ribosomal RNA is filed under the name Theileria ovis. RNAcentral describes it as "SSU rRNA". It matches the Rfam family "Eukaryotic small subunit ribosomal RNA", at positions 475 to 900 of the family's 1831-position model. The record is from RNAcentral. Lineage: Eukaryota; Apicomplexa; Aconoidasida; Piroplasmida; Theileriidae.
AAAUAACAAUACGGGGCUUAAUGUCUUGUAAUUGGAAUGAUGGGAAUUUAAACCUCUUCCAGAGUAUCAAUUGGAGGGCAAGUCUGGUGCCAGCAGCCGCGGUAAUUCCAGCUCCAAUAGCGUAUAUUAAAAUUGUUGCAGUUAAAAAGCUCGUAGUUGAAUUUCUGCUGCAUUGCUUUUGCUCCUUUACGAGUCUUUGCAUUGUGGCUUAUUUCGGACUUUGUUUUACAAUGUCCGGAUGUUUACUUUGAGAAAAUUAGAGUGCUCAAAGCAGGCUUUCGCCUUGAAUAGUUUAGCAUGGAAUAAUAAAGUAGGACUUUGGUUCUAUUUUGUUGGUUUUAGGUACCAAAGUAAUGGUUAAUAGGAACAGUUGGGGGCAUUCGUAUUUA